This 259-nucleotide unclassified non-coding RNA is filed under the name fungal sp. RNAcentral's name for it is "partial internal transcribed spacer region". The stretch from base 1 to 46 matches the Rfam family "Eukaryotic small subunit ribosomal RNA", at positions 1786 to 1831 of the family's 1831-position model. Lineage: Eukaryota; Fungi. The record is from RNAcentral.
AAGUCGUAACAAGGUUUCCGUAGGUGAACCUGCGGAAGGAUCAUUAACAAAUCAUGUUUGUGCCGGCCGAAAGGUUGGCACGAAAUUAGCGCUCUGCCGUCCAUCUGGAUGGCAUUGUGUGCUCCGGGAGACAAGAUGUCAAGUCUUUGUCUUCCGGCGCUGGGUCUUCGGAUCCAACAUAGACGAUUGUAUUGUUUGACAGAGUUUUAUUAUGACAAAUAAUAAAAGACAACUUUUAACAAUGGAUCUCUUGGCUCUU